This is a long non-coding RNA of Sebastes umbrosus (honeycomb rockfish), 886 nucleotides long. RefSeq lists it as uncharacterized. NCBI's taxonomy places the organism in Eukaryota, Metazoa, Chordata, Actinopteri, Perciformes, Sebastidae. The transcript has 6 exons. The record is from RefSeq and is a predicted model, not a curated record.
GUGAUCCUGUGAUGAUGACAACUUUCUGUCCAGUAUGGAGGCAGACAGCCAGAUCCUGAUCCUGAGAAGAAUGAAAGAAAAUCCUGUUAUUUCCUGUGAUGUCAGGACACUCGAAUGACUGCAUCCAAAACCACAAACUCUAUCAAUGAAUUCUGGGAAUCUGCAGGGCGUAUAAAUCAAACUUAAUCAGCCACCUGAGCAGUUGGCACUUCCUCCAUCAUCCUGUGAAAGACACACUUUUCCAGGCCUCUCACCCAUUGCAUGCAGAGAAAGCUCCACCUGGAUGGAUCAACAUCUUCUGUGCUGAACCGCCGGCUGGUGAAAGUGACUGCCUGUCUGUCUACCUGCCUGCUGGUUGUUUGACACGCUGAGGCCACGUGGAGGCUCGCUGACGGCCUCUCCCCGCUGACGGUCUUCUGCUGCGGCUGCCGGAGCUGUGGAGGAGCCUCUGGCACGGCUGCAGCUCUGGCUUCUAGAUGAUCUGUAGAAAAUCCAGCCAGAUCGCCAUGUGGGGAUCAACGCCUCAGCUUCGGCAGGGUUGCUGAAAUGCGCUAAAUGCCCCGCUAGCCGCAGCAGACGCCUGCUGUGUGUCUGCGCUUCUCGUCAGGCUUCAUUUAUAUCACACGGCAGGUUGAUGGAGUGCUGAAUCAUCCAUCAAGAGCACAAGUAUUUACUUUGAUUCCAGUAAAAUAAAGGCUGAUCUGAAGCUGCUGACCUGGACUUUUGCUCUUGAGCCAACAUGGCAAAGUAAGAGAGAGUGCAUGGUAGUGGUUGUGUGUGAUUGCAUACUUGAGUAUUAGUCCAUACCAGAGUUUGACCAGUACUGACUGGUUGAUACUGUUUAUACCUGCAAGUGGCCGUUAAUCUAUGGGACAAUAAUUUGACU